UGCGUAGGUGGUCUUGUAAGUCAGAAGUGAAAGGCUACGGCUUAACCGUAGUAAGCUUUUGAAACUGCAGGACUUGAUGCAGGAGAGGAAAGUGGAAUUCCUAGUGUAGCGGUGAAAUGCGUAGAUAUUAGGAGGAACACCAGUGGCGAAGGCGACUUUCUGGACUGUUACUGACACUGAGGCGCGAAAGCGUGGGGAGCGAACA
Molecule: ribosomal RNA, 205 nt
Filed under: uncultured bacterium
Lineage: Bacteria
Description: partial 16S ribosomal RNA
Rfam family: Bacterial small subunit ribosomal RNA
Source: RNAcentral